This 396-nucleotide ribosomal RNA is filed under the name uncultured bacterium. RNAcentral's name for it is "partial 16S ribosomal RNA". The record is from RNAcentral.
AGCUACCCGGUACACGUCANUGUACAAGGCCCGGGAACGUAUUCACCGCGGCAUUCUGAUCCGCGAUUACUAGCGAUUCCAGCUUCGUGCAGUCGAGUUGCAGACUGCAGUCCGAACUGGGACGUUAUUUUUGGGAUUUGCUUACCUUCGCAGGCUCGCUUCCCUUUGUUUACGCCAUUGUAGCACGUGUGUAGCCCAAAUCAUAAGGGGCAUGAUGAUUUGACGUCAUCCCCGCCUUCCUCCAGGUUAUACCUGGCAGUCUCCUCAGAGUGCCCAGCCGGACUGCUGGCUACUGGGGAUAACAGGGUUGUCGACGUCCUGCUUGGCGGGGACAUUAACCCAACAUCUUCUACAGAGCAACCGAGGACUGAGCAGACAAGCCAUAGCACCCGACAC